This 416-nucleotide ribosomal RNA is filed under the name Synacanthotermes heterodon. RNAcentral describes it as "partial 12S ribosomal RNA". Lineage: Eukaryota; Metazoa; Arthropoda; Insecta; Blattodea; Termitidae. The record is from RNAcentral.
CCCUAUUAUUUUGAGUGUUAAUGUUUUUACUUGAGUAGUAUUAGUUAUGUUCUUGAAACUUAAAGAAUUUGGCGGUAUCUCACUCCAUUCAGAGGAAUCUGUCUCGUUAUCGAUAGUCCGCGUUGGACCUUACUUAGGGUUAGAUAUAUGGUUUGUAUACCGCCGUUUAUUGAUUAUCUUUUUAGAGUUUAUAAUUUUCUGGUUUCUUUAUUUUGAUUUAUUACAGGUCAAGGUGCAGCUUUUUCUAAGUGUAAUGAUGGAUUACAUUAUCAUUUGUUGUUUGGAUUGUUUGUUUUAAUAUGGGCAUGAAAUUGGAUUUGGUUGUAAUGUUUUGUAGAUUGUUUAUAUGAUAAUUGGUUCUGAGAUAUGUACACAUCGCCCGUCGCUCUCGUUUAAUGUUGUUGGCGAGAUAAGUC